This 643-nucleotide ribosomal RNA is filed under the name uncultured fungus. Its description in RNAcentral is "eukaryotic LSU rRNA". The stretch from base 269 to 422 matches the Rfam family "5.8S ribosomal RNA". Lineage: Eukaryota; Fungi. The record is from RNAcentral.
GGAAGGAUCAUUAUUGAAUAAACUUGUACAGGCUGUUGCUGGUCCCUUGUUAGGGGGCAUGUGCACGCUUGUCAUCUUUAUUUCUCCAACUGUGCACAUAUUGUAGACCCUGGAUUUUUAUUAUUAUUAUUUGAUAGAUUGAGGACUGCUGUGCUUUCAAACAAGUCAGCUUUACCUUGUAUUUCCAGGUCUAUGUUAUUUUCAUAAUCUCUGAAUAUGUUUAGAAUGUUAAAUUGGGUCAUAUUUGUACCUAUAAAGUUAUAUAUACAACUUUCAGCAACGGAUCUCUUGGCUCUCGCAUCGAUGAAGAACGCAGCGAAAUGCGAUAAGUAAUGUGAAUUGCAGAAUUCAGUGAAUCAUCGAAUCUUUGAACGCAUCUUGCGCUCCUUGGUAUUCCGAGGAGCAUGCCUGUUUGAGUGUCAUUAAGUUCUCAACUACACUAGUUCUUAUGAUCUACUGUGGCUUGGAUAUGGGGGUUUUGUUUGCAGGCUUUGGAAAACAAAGUCGGCUCCCCUGAAAUGUAUUAGUGGUAUCUGAGCAGAAACUACCACAGGUGUGAUAAUUAUCUAUGCCUUGGUGUACUGCAUGACCAGAUUACACUGCUUCCAACAACCCUAUUUGACAAAUUUGACCUCAAAUCAGG